This 2924-nucleotide ribosomal RNA is filed under the name Klebsiella sp. LY. RNAcentral's name for it is "23S ribosomal RNA". It matches the Rfam family "Bacterial large subunit ribosomal RNA". The record is from RNAcentral. Lineage: Bacteria; Pseudomonadati; Pseudomonadota; Gammaproteobacteria; Enterobacterales; Enterobacteriaceae.
GGGUUGUGAGGUUAAGCGACUAAGCGUACACGGUGGAUGCCCUGGCAGUCAGAGGCGAUGAAGGACGUGCUAAUCUGCGAAAAGCGUCGGUAAGGUGAUAUGAACCGUUAUAACCGGCGAUGUCCGAAUGGGGAAACCCAGUGCAAUUCGUUGCACUAUCGUUAACUGAAUACAUAGGUUAACGAGGCGAACCGGGGGAACUGAAACAUCUAAGUACCCCGAGGAAAAGAAAUCAACCGAGAUUCCCCCAGUAGCGGCGAGCGAACGGGGAGCAGCCCAGAGUCUGAAUCAGCUUGUGUGUUAGUGGAACGGUCUGGAAAGUCCGACGGUACAGGGUGAUAGUCCCGUACACCAAAAUGCACAGGUUGUGAACUCGAAGAGUAGGGCGGGACACGUGGUAUCCUGUCUGAAUAUGGGGGGACCAUCCUCCAAGGCUAAAUACUCCUGACUGACCGAUAGUGAACCAGUACCGUGAGGGAAAGGCGAAAAGAACCCCGGCGAGGGGAGUGAAAAAGAACCUGAAACCGUGUACGUACAAGCAGUGGGAGCACCUUUAUGGUGUGACUGCGUACCUUUUGUAUAAUGGGUCAGCGACUUAUAUUCUGUAGCAAGGUUAACCGUAUAGGGGAGCCGCAGGGAAACCGAGUCUUAACUGGGCGUUAAGUUGCAGGGUAUAGACCCGAAACCCGGUGAUCUAGCCAUGGGCAGGUUGAAGGUUGGGUAACACUAACUGGAGGACCGAACCGACUAAUGUUGAAAAAUUAGCGGAUGACUUGUGGCUGGGGGUGAAAGGCCAAUCAAACCGGGAGAUAGCUGGUUCUCCCCGAAAGCUAUUUAGGUAGCGCCUCGUGAACUCAUCUUCGGGGGUAGAGCACUGUUUCGGCUAGGGGGUCAUCCCGACUUACCAACCCGAUGCAAACUACGAAUACCGAAGAAUGUUAUCACGGGAGACACACGGCGGGUGCUAACGUCCGUCGUGAAGAGGGAAACAACCCAGACCGCCAGCUAAGGUCCCAAAGUCAUGGUUAAGUGGGAAACGAUGUGGGAAGGCACAGACAGCCAGGAUGUUGGCUUAGAAGCAGCCAUCAUUUAAAGAAAGCGUAAUAGCUCACUGGUCGAGUCGGCCUGCGCGGAAGAUGUAACGGGGCUAAACCAUGCACCGAAGCUGCGGCAGCGACACGAUGUGUUGUUGGGUAGGGGAGCGUUCUGUAAGCCUGCGAAGGUGACCUGUGAGGGUUGCUGGAGGUAUCAGAAGUGCGAAUGCUGACAUAAGUAACGAUAAAGCGGGUGAAAAGCCCGCUCGCCGGAAGACCAAGGGUUCCUGUCCAACGUUAAUCGGGGCAGGGUGAGUCGACCCCUAAGGCGAGGCCGAAAGGCGUAGUCGAUGGGAAACAGGUUAAUAUUCCUGUACUUGGUGUUACUGCGAAGGGGGGACGGAGAAGGCUAUGUUAGCCGGGCGACGGUUGUCCCGGUUUAAGCAUGUAGGCUGAUUAUCCAGGCAAAUCCGGAUAAUCAAGGCUGAGGUGUGAUGACGAGGCACUACGGUGCUGAAGUAACAAAUGCCCUGCUUCCAGGAAAAGCCUCUAAGCAUCAGGUAACAUCAAAUCGUACCCCAAACCGACACAGGUGGUCAGGUAGAGAAUACCAAGGCGCUUGAGAGAACUCGGGUGAAGGAACUAGGCAAAAUGGUGCCGUAACUUCGGGAGAAGGCACGCUGGUGUGUAGGUGAAGUCCCUGCGGAUGGAGCUGAGACCAGUCGAAGAUACCAGCUGGCUGCAACUGUUUAUUAAAAACACAGCACUGUGCAAACACGAAAGUGGACGUAUACGGUGUGACGCCUGCCCGGUGCCGGAAGGUUAAUUGAUGGGGUUAUCCGUAAGGAGAAGCUCUUGAUCGAAGCCCCGGUAAACGGCGGCCGUAACUAUAACGGUCCUAAGGUAGCGAAAUUCCUUGUCGGGUAAGUUCCGACCUGCACGAAUGGCGUAAUGAUGGCCAGGCUGUCUCCACCCGAGACUCAGUGAAAUUGAACUCGCUGUGAAGAUGCAGUGUACCCGCGGCAAGACGGAAAGACCCCGUGAACCUUUACUAUAGCUUGACACUGAACAUUGAGCCUUGAUGUGUAGGAUAGGUGGGAGGCUUUGAAGCGUGGACGCCAGUCUGCGUGGAGCCAACCUUGAAAUACCACCCUUUAAUGUUUGAUGUUCUAACGUUGGCCCCUUAUCGGGGUUGCGGACAGUGUCUGGUGGGUAGUUUGACUGGGGCGGUCUCCUCCCAAAGCGUAACGGAGGAGCACGAAGGUUAGCUAAUCCUGGUCGGACAUCAGGAGGUUAGUGCAAUGGCAUAAGCUAGCUUGACUGCGAGCGUGACGGCGCGAGCAGGUGCGAAAGCAGGUCAUAGUGAUCCGGUGGUUCUGAAUGGAAGGGCCAUCGCUCAACGGAUAAAAGGUACUCCGGGGAUAACAGGCUGAUACCGCCCAAGAGUUCAUAUCGACGGCGGUGUUUGGCACCUCGAUGUCGGCUCAUCACAUCCUGGGGCUGAAGUAGGUCCCAAGGGUAUGGCUGUUCGCCAUUUAAAGUGGUACGCGAGCUGGGUUUAGAACGUCGUGAGACAGUUCGGUCCCUAUCUGCCGUGGGCGCUGGAGAAUUGAGGGGGGCUGCUCCUAGUACGAGAGGACCGGAGUGGACGCAUCACUGGUGUUCGGGUUGUCAUGCCAAUGGCACUGCCCGGUAGCUAAAUGCGGAAGAGAUAAGUGCUGAAAGCAUCUAAGCACGAAACUUGCCCCGAGAUGAGUUCUCCCUGAGACUUUAAGUCUCCUGAAGGAACGUUAAAGACGAUGACGUUGAUAGGCCGGGUGUGUAAGCGCAGCGAUGCGUUGAGCUAACCGGUACUAAUGAACCGUGAGGCUUAACCUUACAACGCCGAAG